Molecule: ribosomal RNA, 662 nt
Filed under: uncultured soil bacterium
Lineage: Bacteria
Description: bacterial SSU rRNA
Rfam family: Bacterial small subunit ribosomal RNA
Source: RNAcentral
AGAGUUUGAUCAUGGCUCAGGAUGAACGCUAGCGGCAGGCCUAAUACAUGCAAGUCGGACGGGACUAUUUCUAGUAGCAAUACCGGGAAUAGUUUAGUGGCGAACGGGUGCUUAACACGUGGGCAACCUGCCAGGAAGUGGGGGAUAGCUCGCCGAAAGGCGAAUUAAUACCGCAUGUGAUUAGAGAGGACAUCCUUUCGAAAUUAAAGUCGGGGCAACCUGACGCUUCUUGUGGGGCCCGCGGCCUAUCAGCUAGUUGGUGAGGUUACGGCUCACCAAGGCUUUGACGGGUAGCUGGUCUGAGAGGACGACCAGCCACACUGGGACUGAGACACGGCCCAGACACCUACGGGUGGCAGCAGUCGAGAAUUUUUGACAAUGGGGGAAACCCUGAUCGAGCGACGCCGCGUGGAGGAUGAAGGUCUUCGGAUUGUAAACUCCUGUCAUUGGGGAACAAUGCACAGAUAUUAACUGUAUUUGUGUUGAUAGUACCCGAAGAGGAAGAGACGGCUAACUCUGUGCCAGCAGCCGCGGUAAUACAGAGGUCUCAAGCGUUGUUCGGAUUCAUUGGGCGUAAAGGGUGCGUAGGCGGCGCGGUAAGUCGGGUGUGAAAUCUCGGAGCUUAACUCCGAAACUGCAUUCGAUACUGCCGUGCUUGAGGA